UACAGAGGUCUCAAGCGUUGUUCGGAUUCAUUGGGCGUAAAGGGUGCGUAGGCGGCGCGGUAAGUCGGGUGUGAAAUCUCGGAGCUUAACUCCGAAACUGCAUUCGAUACUGCCGUGCUUGAGGACUGGAGAGGAGACUGGAAUUUACGGUGUAGCGGUGAAAUGCGUAGAUAUCGUAAGGAACACCGGUGGCGAAGGCGGGACUCUGGGCCGAUACUGACGCUGAGGAGCGAAAGCGUGGGGAGCAAACAGG
RNAcentral lists this ribosomal RNA (253 nucleotides) under uncultured bacterium. Its description in RNAcentral is "partial 16S ribosomal RNA". It matches the Rfam family "Bacterial small subunit ribosomal RNA", at positions 524 to 776 of the family's 1533-position model. The record is from RNAcentral.